This 468-nucleotide ribosomal RNA is filed under the name uncultured bacterium. RNAcentral's name for it is "partial 16S ribosomal RNA". It matches the Rfam family "Bacterial small subunit ribosomal RNA", at positions 28 to 507 of the family's 1533-position model. The record is from RNAcentral.
GACGAACGCUGGCGGCGUGCUUAAUACAUGCAAGUCGAACGGAAAGGCCCUGCUUUUGUGGGGUGCUCGAUUGGCGAACGGGUGAGCAACACGUGAGUAACCUGCCCUUGACUUUGGGAUAACUUCACGAAACUGGGGCUCAUACCGGAUAUGAUCUCCUGCUGCAUGGUGGGGGUUGGAAAGUUUCGGCGGUUGGGGAUGGACUCGCGGCUUAUGAGCUUGUUUGUGUGGUAGUGGCUUACCAAGGCUUUGACGGGUAGCCGGCCUGAGAGCGGUACCGGCGACAAGACGACUGAGAUACGGACCAGAAGGCUACGGGAGGCAGCAGGGGGGAGUAUUGCAGAAUGGGCGGAAGCCUGAUACAGCAAUGCCGCGUGCGGGAUGACGGCCUUCGGGUUGUAAACAGAUUUCGAAGGUGAUGAAGAGUGAGUGACGGUAAUGGGUCAAGAAGCAACGGCUAACUACGUG